Molecule: ribosomal RNA, 196 nt
Filed under: uncultured bacterium
Lineage: Bacteria
Description: partial 16S ribosomal RNA
Rfam family: Bacterial small subunit ribosomal RNA
Source: RNAcentral
UAAUACGGAGGGUGCGAGCGUUGUCCGGAAUCACUGGGCGUAAAGGGCGCGUAGGCGGCGCGGGAAGGCGGCGGUGAAAGUCCGGGGCUCAACCCCGGAUCGGCCGUGGCGACUCCCGCGCUGGAGCACAGUAGAGGCGGGUGGAAUUCCGGGUGUAGCGGUGGAAUGCGUAGAGAUCCGGAAGAACACCGGUGGC